Molecule: long non-coding RNA, 469 nt
Organism: Dermochelys coriacea (leatherback sea turtle)
Lineage: Eukaryota; Metazoa; Chordata; Testudines; Dermochelyidae
Exons: 3
Source: RefSeq, a predicted model, not a curated record
CUAUGUUGGUUUCUGAAGUAUAACACUGGCAGACAGCCUCCAAGGAAGAAAGUCCACUGGAAGCCACCAAAGAAUGCAGUGCUUAGUACAUUCCCUGAGCAGCACCAGUGACAUGACUCCUAUAAAGACCCCAUGGGAUUUUUAAAUCGUCUCUUCCAUGGUAGAAGCUCUAGAGGAGUACAGGCAGCAGUGACCGUGGCUUCUUGAAUCUGCCAGAGAAACAAGGUCAAGCUGACAGGGAUGGGAGAGGGGAAGAAGGGAGGGCCCCUUGCUGUGACUGGUUCUGCUGUGCUGUGGGAAACUUUCCACAUUAAAGUGACUGAAUCCCAUCACUUUCCAGCAGACCAUGCCUCCCUUAAUACAUUGUGUUUCUGCAGCAGAAGUGCUGUAUAAGAACCACACUACGCCAGGAAACAUACUCUACAGCGGUCUCUGCCCUUCACUUGAUCCCUCUCAGCACAUCUGCAAG